ACCUGAUUCAGUGCCUUGUUCUUCUUUAAUACAUGAACAGCAAUCAUAUUUACAGUCUGUCCCCUUAGGGAAGGAAUCAAAAGGGAAAACCUCACCAGAAGAGGAGGGAAAAACAACAACAACAACAACAAAAACUGGAAGAAUUUCAGAGGACUAACAGUUCUGACAGAAGCUCUCAGAUCCAGUCUAGAAUGGCUGAUCACCAAAUAAAACAGAUCCCAAAGUGGAGUUGUCUGGAAGAGCCAUGCAUCUGUGGAUGCGUGGAUCUCAACAGAUAAGACCGAGACCUGUCAGGACAUGUAAUUAGACUAAUUAGGUUUUGAGGAACCCUGAAGCUAGAAGGUACAGUUCAUUUUAUAUUUGGAUAGAGCUAUCAUACUAGCGCUGUGCUGGAACUCAUCAAUGGAGCAAUAAAGUAAUCACACGCACCUCUCCACUACCAGUUUCAUUUGAACUUUCUGUCAUUUCCCCUCCUUCCCUUCCUCUGAAGUUCUGCCUCUGCCAGUAUUUCCUGUUUCUG
This is a long non-coding RNA of Gallus gallus (chicken), 520 nucleotides long. The record is from Ensembl. NCBI's taxonomy places the organism in Eukaryota, Metazoa, Chordata, Aves, Galliformes, Phasianidae.